UGGAAUUCUGGUCCGAGCUCCCA
Molecule: non-coding RNA, 23 nt
Filed under: Arabidopsis thaliana (thale cress)
Lineage: Eukaryota; Viridiplantae; Streptophyta; Magnoliopsida; Brassicales; Brassicaceae
Source: RNAcentral